Molecule: ribosomal RNA, 254 nt
Filed under: uncultured bacterium
Lineage: Bacteria
Description: partial 16S ribosomal RNA
Rfam family: Bacterial small subunit ribosomal RNA
Source: RNAcentral
UACGGGGGGAGCAAGCGUUGUUCGGAUUUACUGGGCGUAAAGGGCGCGUAGGCGGUCGUGACAAGUCACUUGUGAAAUCUCCGGGCUUAACUCGGAACGGUCAAGUGAUACUGUCGGACUAGAGUACAGAAGGGGCAACUGGAAUUCUCGGUGUAGCGGUGAAAUGCGUAGAUAUCGAGAGGAACACCUGCGGCGAAGGCGGGUUGCUGGGCUGAUACUGACGCUGAGGCGCGAAAGCGUGGGGAGCGAACAGG